Molecule: long non-coding RNA, 212 nt
Filed under: Sorghum bicolor (sorghum)
Lineage: Eukaryota; Viridiplantae; Streptophyta; Magnoliopsida; Poales; Poaceae
Description: long non-coding RNA (SBIC_LNC010924)
Source: RNAcentral
CUGCCAACUGGAGUGUCAUGGUGGUUGGCUCCAAGUUGGUGAAGUUCAACCUGUCAAAGACCGAUUUCGGCAUGACGCUCACACUCGCCCCCAAAUCACAUAGGGCGUGGUCGAAUUGCUAGGCCCCAAUUGAGCAUGAGAUUGUGGGGCACCCAGGAUCCUGCUUCUUCUCGAGCAGCUCAUUGAGUAUAGUUGUGCUACAUUCUUCUGUC